GACGAACGCUGGCGGCGUGCUUAAAACAUGCAAGUCGAACGGACUUCUCAUGAAGCUUGCGAUUGAGAAGUUAGUGGCGGACGGGUGAGUAACGCGUGGGCAACCUGCCCCUGAGCCCGGGAUAACAGUUCGAAAGGACUGCUAAGACCGGAUAUACUUGCGGUGAAGCAUUUCACUGCAAGGAAAGGGAACGCUCAGGGAUGGGCCCGCGUCCCAUUAGCUAGUUGGUGAGGUAACGGCCCACCAAGGCGACGAUGGGUAGCCGGCCUGAGAGGGUGAACGGCCACACUGGGACUGAGACACGGCCCAGACUCCUACGGGAGGCAGCAGUUGGGAAUCUUCGGCAAUGGGCGCAAGCCUGACCGAGCAACGCCGCGUGAGUGAUGAAGGUUUUCGGAUUGUAAAGCUCUGUCUUCCGGGACGAUAAUGACGGUACCGGAGGAGGAAGCCACGGCUAACUACGUGCCAGCAGCCGCGGUAAGCACGAGAGUA
RNAcentral lists this ribosomal RNA (492 nucleotides) under uncultured bacterium. RNAcentral describes it as "bacterial SSU rRNA". It matches the Rfam family "Bacterial small subunit ribosomal RNA", at positions 28 to 533 of the family's 1533-position model. The record is from RNAcentral.